Podarcis lilfordi (Lilford's wall lizard) is the source of this 89-nucleotide non-coding RNA. The record is from the annotation of a GenBank genome assembly. Lineage: Eukaryota; Metazoa; Chordata; Lepidosauria; Squamata; Lacertidae.
AAUAUAUACAGUGCCAAAAUAAUAAUGGCUUGUGCAAUUCAGUAUCUCAAAAUUGCGCAUGCCAUUAUUAUUUUGGCAUUAUAUAUAUU